UAGACUCAUCUGUGCCUUGUGUAGCCU
RNAcentral lists this non-coding RNA (27 nucleotides) under Mus musculus (house mouse). Lineage: Eukaryota; Metazoa; Chordata; Mammalia; Rodentia; Muridae. The record is from RNAcentral.